GACGAACGCUGGCGGCGUGCUUAACACAUGCAGGUCGAACGGACAGACAGAGAGCUUGCUCUCUUGAAGUUAGUGGCUAACGGGUGAGUAACGCGUAAUCAACCUGCCCUUCAGAGGGGGAUAACAACGGGAAACCGUUGCUAAUACCGCGUAGGAUUCAUGAACGGCAUCGUUUAUGAAGGAAAGUAGGCCACUAUGUAUCAGCUAUCGCUGACGGAGGGGAUUGGGUCUGAUUAGCUAGUUGGAGGGGUAACGGCGAACCAAGGCAAUGAUCAGUAGCCGGUCUGAGAGGAUGAACGGCCAGAUUGGGACGGAGACACGGCCCAAACUCCUACGGGAGGCAGCAGUGGGGAAUCUUCCGCAAUGGACGAAAGUCUGACGGAGCAACGCCGCGUGAGUGGUGAAGGUCUUCGGAUUGUAAAGCUCUGUUAAUCGGGACGAAAGAGUUCUGCGUGAAUAAUGCAGAAAAGUGACGGUACCGGAAUAGAAAGCCACGGCUAACUACGUGCCAGCCGCCGCAGUAA
This 524-nucleotide ribosomal RNA is filed under the name uncultured bacterium. Its description in RNAcentral is "partial 16S ribosomal RNA". It matches the Rfam family "Bacterial small subunit ribosomal RNA", at positions 28 to 523 of the family's 1533-position model. The record is from RNAcentral.